GCCUGGAUGCGUGGCGGGCUAGAUCAUCUAGCUGCUGGAUAAUCCACUUCUCCUCGAAGAUGUUCACAUCCUACCCUGGAACCUGUGAAUGUUGAAUUACAUGAGAAGCAGAGGCUGGAGGAACACAGGUGAGAGAAGGCAGUGUCCCCGUGGCGGCAGGGACUGCAACAAAGCCACCAGGCCGAGGAGUGCUGGCAGCCACCAGGACCUGGAAGAGGCAAGAGCGAGCCAAUGGCCGGAGCACAGCCCUGCAGACCCCAGGGUUCUGGAGCAGCGAUACCAGUUUGAGACUUCUGGUUUCCAGAC
This is a long non-coding RNA of Tupaia belangeri chinensis (Chinese tree shrew), 306 nucleotides long. RefSeq lists it as uncharacterized. The transcript is spliced from 3 exons. NCBI's taxonomy places the organism in Eukaryota, Metazoa, Chordata, Mammalia, Scandentia, Tupaiidae. The record is from RefSeq and is a predicted model, not a curated record.